Molecule: ribosomal RNA, 464 nt
Filed under: uncultured bacterium
Lineage: Bacteria
Description: partial 16S ribosomal RNA
Rfam family: Bacterial small subunit ribosomal RNA
Source: RNAcentral
GACGAACGCUGGCGGCGUGCUUAACACAUGCAAGUCGAACGGAAAGGCCCAGCUUUCUGUGUGCUCGAGUGGCGAACGGGUGUGUAACACGUGGGUGAUAUGCCUCUAACUUCGUGAUAAGCUUGGGAAACUGGGUCUAAUACCGGAUAGGACAAUCGUUUAUUGUCGGUUGUGGAAAGUUUUUUCGGUUAGGGAUGAGCCCGCGGCCUAUCAGCUUGUUGGUGGGGUAAUGGCCUACCAAGGCGUCGACGGGUAGCCGGCCUGAGAGGGUGGAAGGCCACAGUGGGACUGAGAGACGGCACAGACUCCUACGGGAGGAAGCAGGGGGGAAUAGUGCACAAUGGGGGCAAGCCUGAUGAAGCGACGCCGCGUGGGGGAUGACGGCCUUCGGGUUGUAAACCUAUUUCGACAGGGAAGAAGCGUUGGUGACGGUACCUGGAUAAGAAGCACCGGCUAACUACGUG